ACCCCUCUGCUCUCCUCUCGCCUCUCCCCAGGGCUGCGGGCGGACGUGCAGCUGAUUGAGGACGGAGGGGGCCUCCAGCCGCCCGGCGGGAGCCUCCGCCUCUCCUGCAAGGCCUCCGGGUUCACCUUCAGCAGCUUCGGCAUGUUGUGGGUCCGGCAGGCGCCUGGGAAGGGGCUUGAGUGGGUCGCGAGCAUUCACAGCGGUGGUAGCACCUGGUACGCGUCUGCGGUGCAAGGGCGCUUCACCAUCUCCAAGGACAACGCGCAGAGCACGCUCUACCUGCAGAUGAACAGCCUCAAGGCCAAGGACACCGGCACCUACUACUGCGCGAAACAAGCUGGUAGUUGUAGAUCUGGCCCCAUCUUCCUUCCACCCUCUGUUCAGAUAGUGGUACACAUUGAUGAGCUCCACCCUGACUUGCCUCAUCUCCGUGCUGAGCAGUCCCAGCUCUCUCAGCCUUUCCUUGCAGGAGAUGCUCCAGUCACAUCAUCAUCUUAA
This is a non-coding RNA of Rhea pennata, 498 nucleotides long. The record is from the annotation of a RefSeq genome assembly. Lineage: Eukaryota; Metazoa; Chordata; Aves; Rheiformes; Rheidae.